Molecule: ribosomal RNA, 292 nt
Filed under: uncultured bacterium
Lineage: Bacteria
Description: partial 16S ribosomal RNA
Rfam family: Bacterial small subunit ribosomal RNA
Source: RNAcentral
GUGCCAGCAGCCGCGGUAAUACGGAGGGUGCAAGCGUUGUCCGGAUUUAUUGGGUUUAAAGGGUGCGUAGGCGGUUUUAUAAGUCAGUGGUGAAAGACGGCAGCUCAACUGUCGCAGUGCCAUUGAUACUGUAGAACUUGAGUAUAGUUGAGGUAGGCGGAAUUUAUGGUGUAGCGGUGAAAUGCAUAGAUACCAUAAGGAACCCCGAUAGCGUAGGCAGCUUACUAAACUAUAACUGACGCUGAGGCACGAAAGCAUGGGUAGCGAACAGGAUUAGAUACCCCAGUAGUCC